This 1477-nucleotide long non-coding RNA is filed under the name Astyanax mexicanus (Mexican tetra). Its description in RNAcentral is "lncRNA (ENSAMXG00005002804.1)". Lineage: Eukaryota; Metazoa; Chordata; Actinopteri; Characiformes; Acestrorhamphidae. The record is from RNAcentral.
AAGCUGCAAACGGGCGGAGAUAUCGUGCGAGUGGAGACUUCCACUGCGGAAGAGGCUUCUUGCUCUGGGGGAGCACCGCUGACGCCGGGGGAGGAACUACGGGAAGAGUGCGGCCGCGAGCAAGCUGGCGCACUGAUGGAGCAGGCCCUGAGAGAAAUUGCUAAGCUGACCUGGGGAACAUACUGGUUCGAGGACUGGGAAGAGCAAGAGCGACAGUUCAGAGAGACACAGGAAGAGAUUGAGAAGCUCUGCCUGACCUUUGGAAAGCUGAAGAAGGACAGAGAUAUCGUGCGAGUGGACACUUCCCCUGCGCAAGAGGCUUCUAGCUCUGGGGGAGCAGAGCUCCGUCUUUUCGACCUCCCAAUGCCUGCACAGGAGGAUAAAAAGAGGGGAGAGGAGGAGCAGGAUAGAGAAAAAGUAAAGGAAAGGGAGAUAGAAAGAGUAGAGAAGACAGCUGAGAAACAGAUUAAUGAAAUAAGGGCCAGGAUGGAGACAGUAGAGAAGAGUGCUGAGAAACAGAUUAGUGAAAUGGAGGCCAGGAUGGAGAGAGUGGAGAAGACGGCUGAGAAACAGAUUAAUGAAAUAAAGGCCAGGAUGGAGACAGUGGAGAAGAGCGCUGACAAACAGAUUAGUGAAAUGGAGGCCAGGAUGGAGAGAGUAGAGAAGAGUGCUGAGAAACAGAUUAGUGAAAUGGAGGCCAGGAUGGAGACAGUAGAGAAGAGCGCCGAGAAACAGAUUAAUGAAAUGAAGGCCAGGAUGGAGAGAGAAGAGAAGAGGGCUAAGAAAGAGAGUUAUGAAAUGAAAGCCAGGAUGGAGACAUUAGAGAAGAGCGCUGAGAAACAGAUUAAUGAAAUGGAGGCCAGGAUGGAGAGAGAAGAGAAGAGGGCUAAGAAAGAGAGUUAUGAAAUGAAAGCCAGGCUGGAGAUGGUAGAGCAGAGCGCUGAGAAACAGAUUAAUGAAAUGGAGGCCAGGAUGGAGACAUUAGAGAAGAGCGCUGAGAAACAGAUUAAUGAAAUGAAGGCCAGGAUGGAGAGAGUGGAGAAGAGCGUUGAGAAACAGAUGGAUGAAAUGAAGGCCAGGAUGGAGAGAGAAGAAAUGAAGAUGAAAGAACAGAUGGCUGAGAUGGAGAAUUCUGGAGCUAGUAUUCUAGAUAGUAUUCUGACACCGCGUGGUAUUUUGGUGGGCUCUACUGUGCUUGGUUGUAUUUUAGCUCUUGUGUUGUGCCUGGGCAAAAGCUAAAGCUCACUCGCAACAAUCUUUUCCAGCCCAAUCCCAGCAUAGAGUGCAAUAAUUAAAGGUUUUCCUUUAAUGUUCCAAUAUAGACUGUCCCAAAAAAGGAUAACAUAUUUUUAUUAUUAGUGUAGUUAGAAUUAAUUAGGCAGCAGAUGGGGUGUUGGGGGGUUUGGGUGGGGAUGGGGGUUUAGAGGGGCAGAGGCAGCAGAGUUUUAAAAGGGGUGGUUUUGACCGUGUGGAGUCG